This 253-nucleotide ribosomal RNA is filed under the name uncultured bacterium. RNAcentral's name for it is "partial 16S ribosomal RNA". It matches the Rfam family "Bacterial small subunit ribosomal RNA", at positions 524 to 776 of the family's 1533-position model. The record is from RNAcentral.
UACAGGGGGCGCGAGCGUUGCUCGGAAUCACUGGGCGUAAAGCGUACGCAGGCGGGUCGAUAAGUCCGUUGUGAAAUCCCGGGGCUCAACCCCGGAAAUGCGAUGGAGACUGCCGAUCUUGAGUACGGGAGAGGGGAGCGGAAUUCCUGGUGUAGAGGUGAAAUUCGUAGAUAUCAGGAGGAACACCGGUGGCGAAAGCGGCUCCCUGGCCCGAUACUGACGCUCAUGUACGAAAGCGUGGGGAGCAAACAGG